UAGCUGAGUGGAUAAAGCGAUGGCGUUUGAAGCGAAAGGUACUGGGUUCGAUUCCCAG
This is a transfer RNA of Schistosoma mansoni, 58 nucleotides long. It matches the Rfam family "tRNA", at positions 8 to 63 of the family's 71-position model. Rfam says of the family: Transfer RNA (tRNA) molecules are approximately 80 nucleotides in length. Their secondary structure includes four short double-helical elements and three loops (D, anti-codon, and T loops). Lineage: Eukaryota; Metazoa; Platyhelminthes; Trematoda; Strigeidida; Schistosomatidae. The record is from Rfam.